RNAcentral lists this ribosomal RNA (501 nucleotides) under uncultured bacterium. RNAcentral's name for it is "partial 16S ribosomal RNA". It matches the Rfam family "Bacterial small subunit ribosomal RNA", at positions 29 to 523 of the family's 1533-position model. The record is from RNAcentral.
AUUGAACGCUGGCGGCAUGCCUUACACAUGCAAGUCGAACGGCAGCACGGGUGCUUGCACCUGGUGGCGAGUGGCGAACGGGUGAGGAAUACAUCCGAACGUCCCUUAUCGUGGGGGAUAACGCAGCGAAAGCUGUCCUAAUACCGCAUAGGCCCUGAGGGGGAAAGCGGGGGAUCGAAGGACCUCGCGCGAUCAUACCGGCAGAUGCCUGAUUAGCUUGUGGGUGGGGUAAAAGCGCACCAAGGCGACGACCAGUAGCUGGUCUGAGAGGACGAUCAGCCACACUGGGACUGAGACACGGCCCAGACUCCUACGGGAGGCAGCAGUGGGGAAUUUUGGACAAUGGGGGCAACCCUGAUCCAGCAUUGCCGCGUGAGUGAAGAAGGCCUUCGGGUUGUAAAGCUCUUUUGUCAGGGAAGAAACACCGGCUCUAACACAGUCCGGGAAUGACGGUACCUGAAGAAUAAGCACCGGCUAACUACGUGCCAGCAGCCGCCGUAA